UACGUAGGGUGCAAGCGUUGUCCGGAAUUAUUGGGCGUAAAGAGCUCGUAGGCGGUGUGUCGCGUCGGCCGUGAAAACCUGCAGCUUAACUGUGGGCUUGCGGUCGAUACGGGCAUCACUGGAGUUCGGCAGGGGAGACUGGAAUUCCUGGUGUAGCGGUGAAAUGCGUAGAUAUCAGUCGGAACACCGGUGGCGAAGGCGGCUUCUUGGGCCGUUUCUGACGCUGAGGCGCGAAAGCCAGGGGAGCGAACGGG
RNAcentral lists this ribosomal RNA (254 nucleotides) under uncultured bacterium. Its description in RNAcentral is "partial 16S ribosomal RNA". It matches the Rfam family "Bacterial small subunit ribosomal RNA", at positions 524 to 776 of the family's 1533-position model. The record is from RNAcentral.